Molecule: ribosomal RNA, 464 nt
Filed under: bacterium LD3005
Lineage: Bacteria
Description: bacterial SSU rRNA
Rfam family: Bacterial small subunit ribosomal RNA
Source: RNAcentral
GACGAACGCUGGCGGCGUGCCUAACACAUGCAAGUCGAGCGGGGACAUUGCGACAGAUAUGAAGUUUUCGGAUGGAUUUGAAGAUGUAAUGUUCUAGCGGCGGACGGGUGAGUAACGCGUGAGCAACCUGUCCCUUACAGGGGGAUAACACAGCGAAAGUUGUACUAAUACCGCAUAAGACCACAGAGCGACAUCGCUCAGGGGUCAAAGGAGCAAUCCGGUAAGGGGUGGGCUCGCGUCCGAUUAGAUAGUUGGUGAGGUAACGGCCCACCAAGUCGACGAUCGGUAGCCGACCUGAGAGGGUGAUCGGCCACAUUGGGACUGAGACACGGCCCAAACUCCUACGGGAGGCAGCAGUGGGGAAUAUUGGGCAAUGGGGGAAACCCUGACCCAGCAACGCCGCGUGAGGGAAGAAGGUUUUCGGCAUCGUAAACCUCUGUCCUUGGUGAAGAGGAAGAGACGGA